UACGAAGGGGGCUAGCGUUGCUCGGAAUCACUGGGCGUAAAGCGCACGUAGGCGGCUUUCUAAGUCAGGGGUGAAAUCCUGGAGCUCAACUCCAGAACUGCCUUUGAUACUGGGAAGCUCGAGUCCGGAAGAGGUGAGUGGAACUCCGAGUGUAGAGGUGAAAUUCGUAGAUAUUCGGAAGAACACCAGUGGCGAAGGCGGCUCACUGGUCCGGUACUGACGCUGAGGUGCGAAAGCAUGGGGAGCAAACAGG
RNAcentral lists this ribosomal RNA (253 nucleotides) under uncultured bacterium. RNAcentral describes it as "partial 16S ribosomal RNA". It matches the Rfam family "Bacterial small subunit ribosomal RNA", at positions 524 to 776 of the family's 1533-position model. The record is from RNAcentral.